Hemicordylus capensis (graceful crag lizard) is the source of this 1324-nucleotide long non-coding RNA. RefSeq lists it as uncharacterized. NCBI's taxonomy places the organism in Eukaryota, Metazoa, Chordata, Lepidosauria, Squamata, Cordylidae. The transcript has 2 exons. The record is from RefSeq and is a predicted model, not a curated record.
CUGUUUCUGGUGGGGGGGGGGGAAGUUUCCCAAAGAGAGCACUAAAGUACAGAGAGAGAUCAGUGAAGAGUGUGGCAGUAGUGCUGCUACUGGGCUGCUCAGGCGGGGAGCUGCAAGCUCAGGCUGCAAGAAGCCGAGGAGAGCGUGGAGGCAAAAGUGAGUGAGCUCUUUUUGCAGCGGCGGCAGAGAGGCAGGCGGGAAAGGCUGGCCUGGCCGGUUACUAAUAAAUUGCUAUGGCGGGGGGAAGAGGACUCUGGUGGCCGCUGCUGAGAAACAUCAGCAGCUUUUCUGCCGCUUUUCUGCCGCUAAACAAAGGGAGGGCGGCAGCUUUUCUGCCGCUAAACAAGGGGAGGGUGAUGUGUGCGUGGGGAAUUCUAGUACCUCAAGUGGCCUUCCGGGCCAUCCUCAGCGGCGAGGCGGCCAGCUUGGGCUGUGCGCCCUGCACCGUGCUUCGGCUGCCUCUCGCCUGCGGGCUCCCCGUGCCGCCGCUUCCCGGGGCUGGGGCGGCGAGGUGAGCUGCGUGUCCUGCCUUUCCCCUUCGUUCCUUCACUUCGUCCUGCAGCAGGAAGAAUCCAGGCGGUGCGCAAGGCCAGCCCCCGGAGGCGAAGCAAGCCCCGCUCGCUGGCUGGCGCCUGGCUCGCUCGUCUUUGAACUUUUGAACUGUGAUUUGAAUGGUGAUUUGAAAACUACUGGUGCUCGCCGCGGCGCCUGCAGCCAAGCCAGGCCAGCAUUAUUAUUAUUUAAAAAAAAAAAUAAUAAUUAAAAUUUAAUUUGGGGGAUCGGCGGGGGUCAUGGCGGCGCCCCCCCACGUGACCAGGAAAGAUGGCGCCUGGGGCACGUGCCCCCCCUGCCCCCCCUAUCGUUACGCCUCUGCCGGCCAUGACCUUCACCAUCAAUCGAGCCCCUUUCGGGCACAAUGGCUGAAGCGGAGGUCUUGCCUCCUCACCGUCAGAAGAACCUUCAUGUGUAGCUCCAAGGCCAAACUCCCAAAGGCAAAGAUAGACACUGUGCUGUCCUUUUGGUUGAGCCAUAGGUAGCUCAAGCUGUGUCUGGGCGGGAUCAUCCAUUGGUGGUCCUGCCCCAACACAGAUUGACCAAGGCCCACUGUUUAACCUGGCUGUGCAGGCCUGGCUGGUUGCCGCUUUUUGGAGCCGAGAAGGAAUUUUCCCCUGGGAGGUCUCUCGAUCCCCAGGUUUUUUGCCUUCUCUGCACAGCCUUCUCCUUGAGCUCUGCAAGCACCUUGGCUUGCCGCUGAAGAAGAGUCAACCAGUGGGUCUUUCCCCCUAGCUCCCCCCCCCCCAAAUAAAAGAUAAAUCAAUCUGAA